AUGGCCAAACAAAAUGGAUUCGUCAUCAGUCAGUCAUUUGAGUCCAUUCCCGGAUUAAGAUUCAAAAAAUCCAGACACAGUGACGAAAAGAUGUAUUCGGAGAAUGAGUGCUCAAAUAAGUAUAUUUAGUACAAUGGAAAAUAUAUUUCUGAAGCAACUAGGUUCAGGUAUAGUGAAAAUUCUCUCCUUGGAUAACAAUAUUCUUUCUUCUAUUUAUUUGAUGUCUAUACUAUUAUUAUGAUCACAAAAUAUUUCAUUUAAAUUUAAGAUUUUGAUUCUAUGUACUUGAAACAUCAACUAUGAAAAUAUUCUAUACCUAAAUAACACUUUAUUGAAAAAUAUAUGUAUACUGAAAAUGAAAAAAUACAUUUUGAGAUGAAAAUAUUGAAUAGACAAUUGAAGAAGAAUAUGUUACAAUAAACACAAAAUUAUUCUUAUCUAUCAUAUUUCACUCGUAAGAUAAUAACAAAUUCACUAGAUUUCAUCAUAGCUACUCGCUUGAUAGUUACCUCAACUGAUUGUUGAUGUUACGAAAUGAAAGAAGAGGAAAUAUUUAUCUCUAAAAAAUAUAUAAAAGACAGUCCCACUAAAUUAGGCGAAAAAGCUCUUGAAAAAUGAGUCGCUUACAGUUUGCGCUUUUCUUCGUUCUCUUUCUGAGCGUUUGCUUGUAUUGUGAUGCAACAGCUGAGGCAAAUCCAAGGAAGAAUACUUGGCGAAAUAUCAAGCGAGCUGGAAGAGUUGGUCACAGCCUUGCUAAUUGGGUACCAAUAGUUCAUGCAUGGGCAACAGGUUAACAAAGCUCGUUGAGCAGAUGUAUAGAGAAUGGAUACUCGUUCAAAACUUCGUAGAUUACAACUUGAUUAGAAUACAUAAUAGUGGAAAUGAUCAUUAACAAAUUUAUUGUAAACCACCCACCCACAAAUAAGGCAUAUAAUGAUUUUUUAAUAUAUUUUAAAAAGUAGAGAUUUAAGAGUUGAUUUGAUUAAAUUUAUUAUUUCUCCAUAAAUAUUGAAUAUAAUUGAAAUU
Long non-coding RNA from Harmonia axyridis, 1026 nucleotides. RefSeq lists it as uncharacterized. Lineage: Eukaryota; Metazoa; Arthropoda; Insecta; Coleoptera; Coccinellidae. The record is from RefSeq and is a predicted model, not a curated record. The transcript is spliced from 2 exons.